RNAcentral lists this ribosomal RNA (253 nucleotides) under uncultured prokaryote. RNAcentral's name for it is "partial 16S ribosomal RNA". It matches the Rfam family "Bacterial small subunit ribosomal RNA", at positions 524 to 776 of the family's 1533-position model. The record is from RNAcentral.
UACGAAGGGGGCUAGCGUUGCUCGGAAUUACUGGGCGUAAAGCGCACGUAGGCGGAUUGUUAAGUCGGGGGUGAAAUCCUGGAGCUCAACUCCAGAACUGCCUUUGAUACUGGGAGGCUUGAGUCCGGGAGAGGUGAGUGGAACUGCGAGUGUAGAGGUGAAAUGCGUAGAUAUUCGCAAGAACACCAGUGGCGAAGGCGGCUCACUGGCCCAGCACUGACGCUGAGGUGCGAAAGCGUGGGGAGCAAACAGG